RNAcentral lists this small RNA (359 nucleotides) under uncultured bacterium. RNAcentral describes it as "bacterial SSU rRNA". The stretch from base 13 to 305 matches the Rfam family "Bacterial small subunit ribosomal RNA", at positions 59 to 350 of the family's 1533-position model. The record is from RNAcentral.
GCCUAAGGAAGAAAGUCGAACGGGGAGUUAGCAAUAACUCCUAGUGGCGAACUUUUGAGUAACGCGUAGACAACCUACCUUCUAGCUGGGGACAACACCGCGAAAGUGGUGCUAAUACAGGAUAAUUCCUUUCCUCUCAUGAGGAAAGGCUGAAAGACGGUUUCGGCUGUCACUUAUAGAUGGGCCCGCGGCGCAUUAGCUAGUUGGUAGGGUAACGGCCUACCAAGGCGACGAUGCGUAGCCGACCUGAGAGGGUGAUCGGCCACACUGGGACUGAGACACGGCCCAGACUCCUACGGGAGGCAGCAGUGGGACCCACUCCUACGGGAGGCAGCAGUGGGACUCCUACGUGAGGCAGC